This 680-nucleotide ribosomal RNA is filed under the name Proteus mirabilis. Its description in RNAcentral is "partial 23S ribosomal RNA". It matches the Rfam family "Bacterial large subunit ribosomal RNA", at positions 875 to 1556 of the family's 2925-position model. Lineage: Bacteria; Pseudomonadati; Pseudomonadota; Gammaproteobacteria; Enterobacterales; Morganellaceae. The record is from RNAcentral.
UAGCGCCUCGUGAACUCAUCUUCGGGGGUAGAGCACUGUUUCGACUAGGGGGUCAUCCCGACUUACCAACUCGAUGCAAACUGCGAAUACCGAAGAAUGUUAUCACGGGAGACACACGGCGGGUGCUAACGUCCGUCGUGAAGAGGGAAACAACCCAGACCGCCAGCUAAGGUCCCAAAGUCAUGGUUAAGUGGGAAACGAAGUGGGAAGGCUCAGACAGCCAGGAUGUUGGCUUAGAAGCAGCCAUCAUUUAAAGAAAGCGUAAUAGCUCACUGGUCGAGUCGGCCCGCGCGGAAGAUGUAACGGGGCUAAACCAUGCACCGAAGCUGCGGCAGCGACACAAAGUGUUGUUGGGUAGGGGAGCGUUCUGUAAGCCUGCGAAGGUGUACUGUGAGGUAUGCUGGAGGUAUCAGAAGUGCGAAUGCUGACAUAAGUAACGAUAAUGCGGGUGAAAAACCCGCACGCCGGAAGACCAAGGGUUCCUGUCCAACGUUAAUCGGGGCAGGGUGAGUCGACCCCUAAGGCGAGGCUGAAAAGCGUAGUCGAUGGGAAACGGGUUAAUAUUCCCGUACUGGUGGUAACUGCGAUGGGGGAACGGAGAAGGCUAGGUUGUCCGGGCGACGGUCGUCCCGGUUCAAGCAGGUAGGCAGAGUGAUUAGGCAAAUCCGGUCACUUAAUGC